RNAcentral lists this ribosomal RNA (547 nucleotides) under Candidiopotamon rathbuni. Its description in RNAcentral is "partial 16S ribosomal RNA". It matches the Rfam family "Bacterial large subunit ribosomal RNA", at positions 1831 to 2625 of the family's 2925-position model. Lineage: Eukaryota; Metazoa; Arthropoda; Malacostraca; Decapoda; Potamidae. The record is from RNAcentral.
GUUUGUUUGAAGGUAUAGGUAAUUUGGCCUGCCCCCUGAUUAUAGUAUUAAAGGGCCGCAGUAUUAUAACUGUGCAAAGGUAGCAUAGUCAUUAGGUUUUUAAUUGGAAUCUUGUAUGAAUGGUUGGACAAAAGAAAGACUCUCUUUAUAUUAAUAUUGAAUUUAACUUUUAAGUGAAAAGGCUUAAAUAAUUUAAGGGGACGAUAAGACCCUAUAAAACUUUAUAUUAUGAUUAUAUUUUAGUGAAUUUUUAAAAAAUAAAGGUUUAAUUUAAUUAUUUAUUGUGUUGGGGAGACAUAGGUAAAAUAGUAUUUUAACUGCUUAUAAUUAAUACAAUAAUUUGUGAGUUAGUAGAAGAUCCUUUUUAAAGAUUAAUAAGUUAAGUUACUUUAGGGAUAACAGCGUAAUUUCUUUUGAGAGUUCUUAUCGAUAAAGGAGGUUGCGACCUCGAUGUUGAAUUAAAAAAAUCUUUAUAAUGAAGAGGUUAUAAUAGAAGGUCUGUUCGACCUUUAAAAUUUUACAUGAUUUGAGUUCAAACCGGUGUGAG